UACAGAGGGUGCAAGCGUUAAUCGGAAUUACUGGGCGUAAAGCGUGCGUAGACGGUUAUGUAAGUCAGAUGUGAAAGCCCUGGGCUCAACCUGGGAAUUGCAGUGGAUACUGGCAAGCUAGAGUGCGGUAGAGGAUGGUGGAAUUCCCGGUGUAGCGGUGAAAUGCGUAGAGAUCGGGAGGAACACCCGUGGCGAAGGCGGCCAUCUGGACCAGCACUGACGCUGAGGCACGAAAGCGUGGGGAGCAAACAGG
This 253-nucleotide ribosomal RNA is filed under the name uncultured bacterium. RNAcentral describes it as "partial 16S ribosomal RNA". It matches the Rfam family "Bacterial small subunit ribosomal RNA", at positions 524 to 776 of the family's 1533-position model. The record is from RNAcentral.